AGAGUUUGAUCCUGGCUCAGCAUGAACGCUGGCGGCAUGCCUAACACAUGCAAGUCGAACGAAGNCUUCGGGUUUAGUGGGGCACGGGUGCGUAACGCGUGGGAAUCUGCCCCUUGGUUCGGAAUAACAGCUGGAAACGACUGCUAAUACCGGAUGAUGACGUAAGUCCAAAGAUUUAUCGCCGAGGGAUGAGCCCGCGUAGGAUUAGGUAGUUGGUGUGGUAAAGGCGCACCAAGCCGACGAUCCUUAGCUGGUCUGAGAGGAUGAUCAGCCACACUGGGACUGAGACACGGCCCAGACUCUCUACGGGAGGCAGCAGUGGGGAAUAUUGGACAAUGGCGAAAGCCUGAUCCAGCAAUGCCGCGUGAGUGAUGAAGGCCUUAGGGUUGUAAAGCUCUUUUACCCGGGAUGAUAAUGACA
RNAcentral lists this ribosomal RNA (420 nucleotides) under Sphingomonas sp. iEII17. RNAcentral describes it as "bacterial SSU rRNA". It matches the Rfam family "Bacterial small subunit ribosomal RNA", at positions 8 to 456 of the family's 1533-position model. Lineage: Bacteria; Pseudomonadati; Pseudomonadota; Alphaproteobacteria; Sphingomonadales; Sphingomonadaceae. The record is from RNAcentral.